CCUACGGGAGGCAGCAGUGAGGAAUCUUGGUCAAUGGGCUUACGCCUGAACCAGCCAAGUCGCGUGAGGGAAGACUGCCCUAUGGGUUGUAAACCUCUUUUGUCAGGGAGCAACGCCGGCUACGUGUAGCCGGACUGAGAGUACCUGCAGAAAAAGCAUCGGCUAACUCCGUGCCAGCAGCCGCGGUACUACGGAGGAUGCGAGCGUUAUCCGGAUUUAUUGGGUUUAAGGGGUGCGCAGGCGGAGGCACAAGUCAGCGGUAAAAUCGCGGGGCUCAACCCCGCUCGGCCGUUGAAACUGGGUCCCUUGAGUGCGCGAAGGGUAGGCGGAAUGCGUGGUGUAGCGGUGAAAUGCAUAGAUAUCACGCAGAACUCCGAUCGCGAAGGCAGCCUACCGGCGCGCAACUGACGCUCAUGCACGAAAGCGUGGGUAUCGAACAGGAUUAGAUACCCGAGUAGUC
Molecule: ribosomal RNA, 460 nt
Filed under: uncultured bacterium
Lineage: Bacteria
Description: partial 16S ribosomal RNA
Rfam family: Bacterial small subunit ribosomal RNA
Source: RNAcentral